ACAACAACAAUCUCUCCUACAACAGUUCCAACAGUACCACCGACUCUCUAUGAGUACAUGAUUGAAAUUGAACUGAACACCACAGACGUUACAGUGAUAGAUCAACUGAGAGCCAUUCUGAGAAAUGCUAUUUACCCUGUCAGAAUCAACAAUCUGAUACAAAUCACUGGUGUUAACAUGUCUACAGUUUGCUUCCCAAAUGGUACUGGAUUCCAGUGCAGAUGUGAGGACCAGUAUCGUUGGUCAUGUGACCAGUGUGUCUCUUAUGGGAAUUGUGAUGACAUCACAUCUGAAACGUGUGGAUGUAUCAAUGCCAUUCCUCCAGAUGGACAGUACUGCCAGUCGGUUCACCACCAAAACUUUACAGCAUGUCCAACAACAACAG
Oncorhynchus gorbuscha (pink salmon) is the source of this 385-nucleotide long non-coding RNA. RefSeq lists it as uncharacterized. Lineage: Eukaryota; Metazoa; Chordata; Actinopteri; Salmoniformes; Salmonidae. The record is from RefSeq and is a predicted model, not a curated record. The transcript has 4 exons.